Molecule: long non-coding RNA, 240 nt
Filed under: Mytilus galloprovincialis (Mediterranean mussel)
Lineage: Eukaryota; Metazoa; Mollusca; Bivalvia; Mytilida; Mytilidae
Source: RNAcentral
GAUUUUCAUAUCUUUCAUCUUAAUAAAGGCAACAGUAGUAUACUGCUGUUCGAAAUUCAUAAAUCGAUUGAAAAAAAAAACAAAUCCUGGUUUCAAACUAAAACUGAGGGAUACGCAUCAAAUAUAUGAGGAAAACUACGACACAACAGAAACACAACAUUAAAAUGUAACACACACAGAAACGAACUAUAGUAUAACAAUGGCCAUUUUCCUGACUUGGUACAGGACAUUUUAGAAAAA